UAGACCGCCUGGGGAGUACGGCCGCAAGGUUAAAACUCAAAUGAAUUGACGGGGGCCCGCACAAGCGGUGGAGCAUGUGGUUUAAUUCGAUGCAACGCGAAGAACCUUACCUGGUCUUGACAUCCACGGAAGUUUUCAGAGAUGAGAAUGUGCCUUCGGGAACCGUGAGACAGGUGCUGCAUGGCUGUCGUCAGCUCGUGUUGUGAAAUGUUGGGUUAAGUCCCGCAACGAGCGCAACCCUUAUCCUUUGUUGCCAGCGGUUAGGCCGGGAACUCAAAGGAGACUGCCAGUGAUAAACUGGAGGAAGGUGGGGAUGACGUCAAGUCAUCAUGGCCCUUACGACCAGGGCUACACACGUGCUACAAUGGCGCAUACAAAGAGAAGCGACCUCGCGAGAGCAAGCGGACCUCAUAAAGUGCGUCGUAGUCCGGAUUGGAGUCUGCAACUCGACUCCAUGAAGUCGGAAUCGCUAGUAAUCGUGGAUCAGAAUGCCACGGUGAAUACGUUCCCGGGCCUUGUACACACCGCCCGUCACACCAUGGGAGUGGGUUGCAAAAGAAGUAGGUAGCUUAACCUUCGGGAGGGCGCUUACCACUUUGUGAUUCAUGACUGGGGUGAAGUCGUAACAAGGUAACCGUAGGGGAACCUGCGGUUGGAUCACCUCCUUACCUGAAAGAA
This 678-nucleotide ribosomal RNA is filed under the name Salmonella enterica. RNAcentral's name for it is "bacterial SSU rRNA". It matches the Rfam family "Bacterial small subunit ribosomal RNA", at positions 865 to 1533 of the family's 1533-position model. RNAcentral also lists the same sequence under 1 other name. The record is from RNAcentral. Lineage: Bacteria; Pseudomonadati; Pseudomonadota; Gammaproteobacteria; Enterobacterales; Enterobacteriaceae.